Molecule: ribosomal RNA, 245 nt
Filed under: uncultured archaeon
Lineage: Archaea
Description: partial 16S ribosomal RNA
Rfam family: Archaeal small subunit ribosomal RNA
Source: RNAcentral
CACCUGCGCCACAAGUGGCAGCCACAUUUAUUGGGCCUAAAGCGUCCGUAGCCGGUUCUGUAAAUUCCUUGUGAAAUCGUCAUGCUUAACGUGACGACGGGCAGGGAAAACUGCAGAACUUGGAACCGGGAGGAGUUAGAGGUAUUCUAGGGGGAGCGGUAAAAUGCUAUAAUCCCUAGAGGACCACCCGUGGCAGAGGCGUCUAACUAGAACGGAUUCGACGGUGAGGGACGAAAGCCAGGGGA